AGUAACGCGUGGAUAACCUGCCGUAUGCAGGGGGAUACCAACUGGAAACAGUUGCUAAUACCGCAUAAGCGCACAGCACCGCAUGGUGCAGUGUGAAAAGAUUUAUCGGCAUACGAUGGAUCCGCGUCCGAUUAGCCAGUUGGCGGGGUAGAAGCCCACCAAAGCGACGAUCGGUAGCCGGCCUGAGAGGGCGGACGGCCACAUUGGGACUGAGACACGGCCCAAACUCCUACGGGAGGCAGCAG
This 245-nucleotide ribosomal RNA is filed under the name uncultured bacterium. Its description in RNAcentral is "partial 16S ribosomal RNA". It matches the Rfam family "Bacterial small subunit ribosomal RNA", at positions 109 to 354 of the family's 1533-position model. The record is from RNAcentral.